GGAUGAACGCUAGCGACAGGCCUAACACAUGCAAGUCGAGGGGCAGCACAAGGAGCAAUCUGAGGUGGCGACCGGCGCACGGGUGAGUAACACGUAUGCAACCUGCCUGUAAGCGGGGAAUAACCCGUUGAAAGACGGACUAAUACCGCAUAAUACUAAAUUACUGCAUGGUAAUUUAUUUAAACAUUUAUGGCUUACAGAUGGGCAUGCGCAUGAUUAGCUAGUUGGAGAGGUAACGGCUCCCCAAGGCAACGAUCAUUAGGGGUUCUGAGAGGAAGGUCCCCCACACUGGUACUGAGACACGGACCAGACUCCUACGGGAGGCAGCAGUGAGGAAUAUUGGUCAAUGGACGAGAGUCUGAACCAGCCAAGUCGCGUGCAGGAAGAAUGUUCCCUAUGGAUUGUAAACUGCUUUUGCAGGGGAAUAAAGUGCAUCACGUGUGAUGUUUUGUAUGUACUCUGCGAAUAAGGAUCGGCUAACUCCGUGCCAGCCGCUGC
This 498-nucleotide ribosomal RNA is filed under the name uncultured bacterium. Its description in RNAcentral is "bacterial SSU rRNA". It matches the Rfam family "Bacterial small subunit ribosomal RNA", at positions 27 to 518 of the family's 1533-position model. The record is from RNAcentral.